RNAcentral lists this ribosomal RNA (164 nucleotides) under Coursetia rostrata. Its description in RNAcentral is "5.8S ribosomal RNA". It matches the Rfam family "5.8S ribosomal RNA". From Rfam's summary of the family: 5.8S ribosomal RNA (5.8S rRNA) is a component of the large subunit of the eukaryotic ribosome. It is transcribed by RNA polymerase I as part of the 45S precursor that also contains 18S and 28S rRNA. The record is from RNAcentral. Lineage: Eukaryota; Viridiplantae; Streptophyta; Magnoliopsida; Fabales; Fabaceae.
UACAAUGACUCUCGGCAACGGAUAUCUCGGCUCUGGCAUCGAUAAAGAACGUAGCGAAAUGCGAUACUUGGUGUGAAUUGCAGAAUCCCGUGAACCAUCGAGUCUUUGAACGCAAGUUGCGCCCGAAGCCAUUAGGCCGAGGGCACGUCUGCCUGGGUGUCACA